Molecule: ribosomal RNA, 314 nt
Filed under: uncultured bacterium
Lineage: Bacteria
Description: partial 16S ribosomal RNA
Rfam family: Bacterial small subunit ribosomal RNA
Source: RNAcentral
GUAUAAGAGACAGCAGUCGCCACGGUAAUACAGAGGGUGCGAGCGUUAAUCGGAUUUACUGGGCGUAAAGCGUGCGUAGGCGGCUUCUUAAGUCGGAUGUGAAAUCCCUGAGCUUAACUUAGGAAUUGCAUUCGAUACUGGGAAGCUAGAGUAUGGGAGAGGAUGGUAGAAUUCCAGGUGUAGCGGUGAAAUGCGUAGAGAUCUGGAGGAAUACCGAUGGCGAAGGCAGCCAUCUGGCCUAAUACUGACGCUGAGGUACGAAAGCAUGGGGAUCAAACAGGAUUAGAGACCCCGGUAGUCCCUGUCUCUUAUAC